GCGGAGGAAAAGAAACCAACAGGGAUUGCCCUAGUAACGGCGAGUGAAGCGGCAACAGCUCAAAUUUGAAAUCUGGCGUCUUUGGCGUCCGAGUUGUAAUUUGCAGAGGGCGCUUUGGCAUUGGCAGCGGUCCAAGUUCCUUGGAACAGGACGUCACAGAGGGUGAGAAUCCCGUACGUGGUCGCUAGCCUUUACCGUGUAAAGCCCCUUCGACGAGUCGAGUUGUUUGGGAAUGCAGCUCUAAAUGGGAGGUAAAUUUCUUCUAAAGCUAAAUACUGGCCAGAGACCGAUAGCGCACAAGUAGAGUGAUCGAAAGAUGAAAAGCACUUUGGAAAGAGAGUUAAAAAGCACGUGAAAUUGUUGAAAGGGAAGCGCUUGCAGCCAGACUUGCCUGUAGUUGCUCAUCCGGGUUUCUACCCGGUGCACUCUUCUAUAGGCAGGCCAGCAUCAGUUUGGGCGGUUGGAUAAAGGUCUCUGUCAUGUACCUCUCUUCGGGGAGAACUUAUAGGGGAGACGACAUGCAACCAGCCUGGACUGAGGUCCGCGCAUCUGCUAGGAUGCUGGCGUAAUGGCUGUAAGCGGCCCGUCUUGAAACACGGACCAAGGAGUCUAACAUCUAUGCGAGUGUUUGGGUGUCAAGCCCGAGCGCGUAAUGAAAGUGAACGGAGGUGGGAACCUUUCGGGGUGCACCAUCGACCGAUCCUGAUGUCUUCGGAUGGAUUUGAGUAAGAGCAUAGCUGUUGGGACCCGAAAGAUGGUGAACUAUGCUUGAAUAGGGUGAAGCCAGAGGAAACUCUGGUGGAGGCUCGCAGCGGUUCUGACGUGCAAAUCGAUCGUCAAAUUUGGGCAUAGGGGCGAAAGACUAAUCGAACUAUCUAGUAGCUGGUUCUGC
RNAcentral lists this small RNA (892 nucleotides) under Nothophoma macrospora. Its description in RNAcentral is "eukaryotic LSU rRNA". It matches the Rfam family "Eukaryotic large subunit ribosomal RNA", at positions 50 to 960 of the family's 3401-position model. Lineage: Eukaryota; Fungi; Ascomycota; Dothideomycetes; Pleosporales; Didymellaceae. The record is from RNAcentral.